GACGAACGCUGUCGGCGUGCUUAACACAUGCAAGUCGAACGGAAAGGCCCUGCUUUUGUGGGGUGCUCGAGUGGCGAACGGGUGAGUAACACGUGAGUAACCUGCCCUUGACUUUGGGAUAACUUCAGGAAACUGGGGCUAAUACCGGAUAGGAGCUCCUGCUGCAUGGUGGGGGUUGGAAAGUUUCGGCGGUUGGGGAUGGACUCGCGGCUUAUCAGCUUGUUGGUGGGGUAGUGGCUUACCAAGGCUUUGACGGGUAGCCGGCCUGAGAGGGUGACCGGCCACAUUGGGACUGAGAUACGGCCCAGACUCCUACGGGAGGCAGCAGUGGGGAAUAUUGCACAAUGGGCGGAAGCCUGAUGCAGCAACGCCGCGUGCGGGAUGACGGCCUUCGGGUUGUAAUCCGCUUUCGCCUGUGACGAAGCGUGAGUGACGGUAAUGGGUAAAGAAGCACCGGCUAACUACGUG
Molecule: ribosomal RNA, 468 nt
Filed under: uncultured bacterium
Lineage: Bacteria
Description: partial 16S ribosomal RNA
Rfam family: Bacterial small subunit ribosomal RNA
Source: RNAcentral